UCAAGCAAGUUUUAUACGGCGAGCGGUUCGUGUGCAUCUUACCCCCUGUUUAUUCCAGGCCUUCAAGCAAGGUUAAUACGCAGAGCGGUGCGUGUGGAUCUUUCUUCCUGUUUAUUACAGGCCUUCAAGCAAGGUUUAUACGGCGAGCGGUACGUGUGGAUCUUUACUGAACAGGUGUAUGAAUUCCGUUGGGUGAGGGCCACAGCCGACUGCACACUGGAACAGGUUCAAUUGGUCGCCAACGGUCGCUUUGGGAUGUACUUUCAGAAUAUGAGUUCGUCAACCGAGCGAACUAUAACCGGACGGACUGCUGAAGAAGAAGUGGUUAUUUUAAAAACGAAGAUUUUCAAUUCAUCAUUCGAAAUGUCGAGUACAGCCCCUUGGGUGUUGGAUACAGCCUGGGCACUUGCUCUCGGUCUCAACAAUAGUAUUAAAUACCUUAAGGAGCAAGGACUGUCCCUUACUAACUACUUUUAUAGUAAACAACACCUGGCUGCCAUCAUGAAAGGAAUGGACGAUGUAGCCUUUCUUGGCGUCACGG
Dreissena polymorpha is the source of this 541-nucleotide long non-coding RNA. RefSeq lists it as uncharacterized. The record is from RefSeq and is a predicted model, not a curated record. Lineage: Eukaryota; Metazoa; Mollusca; Bivalvia; Myida; Dreissenidae. The transcript is spliced from 3 exons.